This 463-nucleotide ribosomal RNA is filed under the name uncultured bacterium. Its description in RNAcentral is "partial 16S ribosomal RNA". It matches the Rfam family "Bacterial small subunit ribosomal RNA", at positions 28 to 507 of the family's 1533-position model. The record is from RNAcentral.
GAUCAACGCUGGCGGCGUGCCUAAUACAUGCAAGUCGAACGGGGCAUCCUUCGGCUUGCUUCCGUGGCGUUCGGGGGGGGCACACGUGUGCAACCUGCACAGAGUUCCUGUGUAGCCGCCGGAAACUGCGGAUAAUUCCGCUUGAACCCAAUGCCCGGUUGAAGGGCUGAGUUAAAGAUUGCGAGAGUCUCUUUGGGAUGCGCCUGCGUCGGUUUACCCUGUUUGUGGGGUAACGUCGUACCAAGGCGGUGAUCGGUAGCUGGGCUGAGCGGACGGCCAGCAACACGGGGAGUGAGACACGGCCCGGAAUUCUACGGGAGGGGGCAGAAAGGAAUCGUACGAACUGGGCGAAAGGCUGACGGAGCAACGGCGCGUGAGGGAGGGCGCCUUUCGGGGUGUAAAUCCCUUUUUUUGGGGGCGACGACCGACGGUACCCGAGCAAGAAGGAACGGCUAACUACGUG